UGGGGAUUAUUGCACAAGGGGCGCAAGCCGGAUCCAGCCAUGCCGCGUGUAUGAAGAAGGCCUUCGGGUGGUAAAGUACUUUCGGCGGGGAGGAAGGGAUUAAGGUUAAUACCUUUGCUCAUUGACGUUACCCGCGAAAGAAGCACCGCCUAACUCCGUGCCGGCAGCCGCGGUAAUACGGAGGGUGCAAGCGUUAAUCGGAAUUACUGGGCGUAAAGCGCACGCAGGCGGUUUGUUAAGUCAGAUGUGAAAUCCCCGGGCUCAACCUGGGAACUGCAUCUGAUACUGGCAAGCUUGAGUCUCGUAGAGGGGGGUAGAAUUCCAGGUGAAGCGGUGAAAUGCGUAGAGAUCUGGAGGAAUACCGGUGGCGAAGGCGGCCCCCUGGACGAAGACUGACGCUCAGGUGCGAAAGCGUGGGGAGCAAACAGG
This 429-nucleotide ribosomal RNA is filed under the name Chloroflexota bacterium. RNAcentral describes it as "Chloroflexi bacterium partial 16S ribosomal RNA". It matches the Rfam family "Bacterial small subunit ribosomal RNA", at positions 355 to 776 of the family's 1533-position model. The record is from RNAcentral. Lineage: Bacteria; Bacillati; Chloroflexota.